Molecule: long non-coding RNA, 1859 nt
Filed under: Sus scrofa (pig)
Lineage: Eukaryota; Metazoa; Chordata; Mammalia; Artiodactyla; Suidae
Description: lncRNA (ENSSSCG00000057141.1)
Source: RNAcentral
UUUUUUUUUUAAUUGAAGUAUAAUUGACUUACAAUGUUGUGUUAAAGUCUGCUGUACAGCGAAGUGACUCAGUUAUAUACGUAUAUACAUUCUUUUAUUCUUUUCAUUAUGGCUUAUCCAUGAUACUGAAUGCAGUUCCCUGUGCUAUACAGAAGGAACCUGUUGUUCAUCCAUCCUAUAUGUAACAGUUUGCAUCUACUAAUCCCAAACUCCCAAGCCAUCCUUCCCCCUUGGCAGCCACAACUCUUGUUUUCUAUGUCUGUGAGUCUGUUUAUGUUUUGUAGAUAAGUUCAUUUGUAGCAUAUCUUAGAUUCCACAUAAUAAGUGAUAUCAUGUAGUAUUUGUCUUUCUCUUUCCGACUUACUUUACUUAAUACGAGAGUCUCUAGUUGCACCCAUCUUGCUGCAAAUGGCAUUAUUUCAUUCUCUCCUGUGGCUGAGCAGUAUUCCAUUGUAUAUAUGUACCACAUCUUCUUUAUAUCAUGGGAUUCUUAAGGCAGAAAACUCCAUGGUACAUAUAUGAAAUAGAUGUUGAUUCAUUUUUAAAAUAUACUUUUCAUUCACACUUUGAAGAAACAAUUGUUUCCUAUAGAAAAGUACUUUUGUGAGUUAUAUGUCCUGUUGCUACUUGAUGCCUGUUGACUUGAUCCCAAGGGACUUAAAAAAUAUAAAAUAAUGGAGUUUCUGCUGUGGCACAGUGGGUUAAGAAUCUGACUACAGUGGCUCACGUCACUGUGGAGGCUCAGGUUCCAUCCCCUGCCCAACACAGUGGGUUAAAGGAUCCGGCAUUGCUGCAGCUGCAGCUUGGAUUCAGUCUCUGGCCUGGGAACUUGCAUAUGCAGCCGUGCAGUCAUGUAUAUAUAAACUAAAUAUCAAAAUCUGAGAAAACUGAAGCCCUGUGAGAUAAAUUACUGACCAAUUCAAAUUCAAAAUAUGUCUUUUGUACAAAAAUUCUUCGUAAUGUUAGUGACCAUCUCAGAGUGAAAUAUCACUCAAAGUUGUCUAUUCACACAACUGUUUGUGGUAACAUCGAUAUCUUUUUCUUUGUUUUGUGGGAAAAAAAAAACUGACAAGCUCUGAAGGGGGAAAGAGUGGGAGUUGUGUGGGAGAGAAGUUUGUUUUUCUUCUUUCAGAUCUUUUCAUGACACAGCGUGGACUCUGACAGUCCCUCUCAGACCCACGAGCGUCUCGUGUGAACCAAAAUAGUGCUUCUCCCUUAAGGAGACCCCUGCUGCUUUUUCGUGUUACUUUGAAAUAUUUGCCAUGAAAUCUGACUGUCACCCCUGUUCAAAGAGAGCUUGGAGAAAUCCUUGGUCUCCCAGGCACUGGCGAGACGGAAGCCCCUUUGGGGGAAGUUUGGAAUGGCCGGGAACAGGCAGUGGUGGUUCGGCUGGCGGGGUUGGCCCGGGGUUGCACGCUCGCUGGCUUGGGGGCAAAGAGGACGCUGCUCCUAGCUGUUCAGCCAAAGAGGUGGAUACUACCAUGAGCCCCGUUUCAUAGAUGAAGUAGUAGCAGCCAGAGGGGCUCCCUGUGGAGAUGAGCUGUGGAGGCUCUUUCUAGCUCCACUGCAUUGUGAAAGGAACCACCAGGACGAACCCUCUGUCCUCAUUUGAAAAGUGUCUCCCCCUUCAAGUUAAGAAAAAUGUUUAGUGUAUUAUUGGCCAAACUGAGUAAACUUCCUUGGGCUGUGCCCAAGGAAGAGCAGGAGAGCGGGGAAGCAGAGGGCACGGCUGCCACUCCUCCAUGUGAACUGGUGACUGGACAGUGGCUGUGAGUGGGAGAGGAGGGGCAGGCAGGGCGGGCAAGGACACAGAAGGAGAGCUCUGAUUCUGGGGUUGCAGUGGUGAAAUUCACUGUAAA